UGGGGAAUAUUGGACAAUGGGGGAAACCCUGAUCCAGCAAUGCCGCGUGAGUGAUGAAGGCCUUAGGGUUGUAAAGCUCUUUCGACGGGGACGAUGAUGACGGUACCCGUAGAAGAAGCCCCGGCUAACUUCGUGCCAGCAGCCGCGGUAAGACGAAGGGGGCUAGCGUUGUUCGGAAUUACUGGGCGUAAAGCGCGCGUAGGCGGUCUUUCAAGUCAGGAGUGAAAGCCCCGGGCUCAACCCGGGAAUAGCUCUUGAUACUGUUGGACUUGAGUCCGGGAGAGGAUAGUGGAAUUCCCAGUGUAGAGGUGAAAUUCGUAGAUAUUGGGAAGAACACCAGUGGCGAAGGCGGCUAUCUGGACCGGUACUGACGCUGAGGCGCGAAAGCGUGGGGAGCAAACAGG
Molecule: ribosomal RNA, 404 nt
Filed under: Bacillota bacterium
Lineage: Bacteria; Bacillati; Bacillota
Also listed under: 2 other names
Description: Firmicutes bacterium partial 16S ribosomal RNA
Rfam family: Bacterial small subunit ribosomal RNA
Source: RNAcentral